UGGGGAAUCUUGCGCAAUGGGCGAAAGCCUGAUGGUGUGACGCCGCGUGGAGGAUGAAGGUCUUCGGAUUGUAAACUCCUGUCAAGUGAGAGUAAAGCUGUGCGUUAACUGCGUCACAGUCUGAGAGUAUCACUAGAGGAAGAGACGGCUAACUCUGUGCCAGCAGCCGCGGUAAUCCAGAGGUCUCAAGCGUUGUUCGGAAUCACUGGGCGUAAAGGGUGCGUAGGCCGCAAUGUAAGUCAGAUGUGA
This 249-nucleotide ribosomal RNA is filed under the name uncultured Verrucomicrobiaceae bacterium. Its description in RNAcentral is "partial 16S ribosomal RNA". It matches the Rfam family "Bacterial small subunit ribosomal RNA", at positions 355 to 597 of the family's 1533-position model. The record is from RNAcentral. Lineage: Bacteria; Pseudomonadati; Verrucomicrobiota; Verrucomicrobiia; Verrucomicrobiales; Verrucomicrobiaceae.